RNAcentral lists this ribosomal RNA (1485 nucleotides) under Triticum aestivum (bread wheat). RNAcentral describes it as "partial small subunit ribosomal RNA". Lineage: Eukaryota; Viridiplantae; Streptophyta; Magnoliopsida; Poales; Poaceae. The record is from RNAcentral.
AUGCUCACCGUCGGCGGCCGCUUCCAGGGCGGAGCUCCCCCAUGGCGACGGCCCCGGCCACGCUCGCGUCUGGCGUCUCCGCCGGCCUCCAGCAGCGGCGCCGGCGACUCCGAAAAGGCCAGACCUUUGCUCGUGGAGAGGUACCGGGACGGCGCCGCCAAGAGGUAUAUGUUGGACGGCGACUCUAAGCUGCAAGUUCAGUGGGAGAAGCAUGAUGAAUCUUCAACGAACACUGUCGAAGAUGAAAAUGCAAAUUCUUCGAUUCCCCGGGCUGUUAGUGAUUUUGUACUUCCAGCAGGUUUUCCAGAAUCUGUUUCGGAUGAUUACCUGCAAUACAUGCUGUUGCAAUUCCCCACAAACGUGACAGGAUGGAUCUGUCACACAUUGGUUACAUCAAGUCUUCUGAAGGCUGUAGGUGUUGGGUCCUUUACAGGAACUUCAGCAGCUGCUGCUGCCGCUGCUAUCAGAUGGGUAUCAAAAGAUGGCAUAGGAGCUUUUGGACGUCUUCUUAUUGGUGGACGAUUUGGAACACUUUUUGAUGAUGACCCAAAGAAGUGGCGGAUGUAUGCUGAUUUCAUUGGGAGUGCUGGAAGCAUCUUUGAUCUCACCACUCCUCUCUAUCCUGGUUACUUCCUUCCACUUGCAUCAUUGGGGAAUCUUGCAAAGGCUGUAGGAAGAGGAUUUAGAGAUCCUUCCAAUCGUGUUAUCCAAAAUCACUUCGCAAAAUCGGGAAAUCUAGGGGAGAUUGCUGCAAAGGAGGAAGUAUGGGAAGUAGGAGCUCAGCUGGUAGGCCUUUCUAUUGGUGUACUUAUUCUGGACACGCCAGGUAUACAGUCUUCAUAUUUAACUCUUACUCUGACAUGGCUGGGUGUUCGUCUUCUGCAUCUUUGGUUUCGCUACCAGUCCCUAGUAGUUCUCAAGUUCCGCACAGUUAACCUAAAACGCGCUCGGAUUCUUGUGAGGUCACAUGUUGCAAAUCAUACAGUUCCUGGCUAUGUUGCUUGCAAUGAGGAAGAGAAUAUUUUAACAUGGGAAAGAUUCUUGCAACCUCGAAUUUCUUUUGGUGUGCCCAUGGAGAGGAUGCUCGGUGGAGAGGAAUCCACUCACAUGGACAUGGUUUGUGUCUUUAGCAAAAAUAAUUAUUUUAUGGUGAAUAUGCUGCUGAAGCUAUACAAGAAUGAGAAGUACAUCCUCUGUGUUGAGCAGCUUGGGUUAGAAGAGGCAACAUACCUGGUUACAUUCAAGGAGGCGGCAACAAGCAUGUCGGUCCUAAGAAGCCUAUGGCAAGCGCAUUGGCUUCACCAAAAUCGGCCGAAGCAGGACGACGUUGCCGCCUGGCUAGAAGAGAGCCUUUCUGCAUUGGAGGAUGGAUUUGCUGACUUCAUCAAACAGAUGGAGGAAGCUGGCUGGGAUCAAAGCCAAAUCUUCUUAAAGGUGCCAAAAGAACCUGUCUUGGUGUUGGAACACCUUGACCAGGAGGUGUGA